This 362-nucleotide long non-coding RNA is filed under the name Oryzias javanicus (javanese ricefish). Its description in RNAcentral is "lncRNA (ENSOJAG00000021946.1)". Lineage: Eukaryota; Metazoa; Chordata; Actinopteri; Beloniformes; Adrianichthyidae. The record is from RNAcentral.
GCCCAACCCCCAAACAGGAAGGCUGCCAUUUUGUCAUCUGGGCACCAGGAAGAAGAGAUGGUGCGCUAUAAGUAAGGCGCAGAAAGGUUUUCCUUGGUGGCAGUGAACAAAGUGUUCUACUGUGGAGCCGUUUUCGCAGUCGCAGACACUGUGUCUGUACAGGGAGUUCCUGUCCCUGGCCCAAACCCGCAGACCAACAGCAAAGAAGGACAAGGUCAACCGUUGCCUCGGCUUUCUUUUGGCAUUAUUGCAGAGGAGCUUCACCUCACACUCGUGGAGUAUUCCUCCAGGCCUGAUGUCAGUAGAUUUAAUCUGCUCUAUAGGUUUCACUUCUGACAGUAACUGCUAUUGUAAGUUAAAAC